CUUACACAUGCAGUCGAACGAGGAAUCUUAGCUCGCUAGAGAAAGUAAGUGGCGCACGGGUGAGUAACGCGUGGGUAAUCUANNCUCGAAUCGUGGAUAACAUCGCGAAAGCGAUGCUAAUACCGGAUAAAAUCUGGUUGGCUUCGGUGAACCGGAUCAAAGGUGGUCUCUUUAUAAAAGCUACCGUNUGGAGAUGAGCUCGNCGUACAUUAGCUAGUUGGUGAGGUAAAGGCUCACCAAGGCGACGAUGGUUAGCUGGUCUGAGAGGAUGAUCAGCCACACCGGAACUGGAACACGGUCCGGACUCCUACGGGAGGCAGCAGUGAGGAAUUUUGCGCAAUGGGGGAAACCCUGACGCAGCAACGCCGCGUGAGUGAUGAAGGCUUACGGGUCGUAAAGCUCUGUCAGGUGGGAAGAACCCACCAAGUGUUAAGACCACUUGGUGCUGACGGUACCACCGAAGGAAGCACCGGCUAACUCCGUGCCAGCAGCCGCGGUAAUACGGGGGGUGCGAGCGUUAUUCGGAAUCAUUGGGCGUAAAGGGCGCGCAGGCGGUUUUGUAAAGUCAGAUGUGAAAUCCCGGGGCUUAACCCCGGAAGUGCAUAUGAAACUAUGAGACUUGAGUAUGGGAGAGGGAAGCGGAAUUCCUGGUUGUAAGCGGUGAAAUGCGUAGAUAUCAGGAGGAACACCCGGUGGCGAAGGCGGCUUCCUGGACCAAUACUGACGCUGAGGCGCGAAGGCGAUGGGAGCGAACAGGAUUAGAUACCCUGGUAGUCCACGCAGUAAACGUUGAUCACUAGGUGUAGCGGGUAUAAACCCUAGUGUGCCGGAGUUAACGCAU
Molecule: ribosomal RNA, 841 nt
Filed under: uncultured organism
Description: bacterial SSU rRNA
Rfam family: Bacterial small subunit ribosomal RNA
Source: RNAcentral